This 492-nucleotide ribosomal RNA is filed under the name Psychrobacter sp. Nj-56. Its description in RNAcentral is "bacterial SSU rRNA". It matches the Rfam family "Bacterial small subunit ribosomal RNA", at positions 496 to 987 of the family's 1533-position model. Lineage: Bacteria; Pseudomonadati; Pseudomonadota; Gammaproteobacteria; Moraxellales; Moraxellaceae. The record is from RNAcentral.
GCUAACUCUGUGCCAGCAGCCGCGGUAAUACAGAGGGUGCAAGCGUUAAUCGGAAUUACUGGGCGUAAAGGGAGCGUAGGUGGCUCGAUAAGUCAGAUGUGAAAUCCCCGGGCUCAACCUGGGAACUGCAUCUGAUACUGUUGAGCUAGAGUAUGUGAGAGGAAGGUAGAAUUCCAGGUGUAGCGGUGAAAUGCGUAGAGAUCUGGAGGAAUACCGAUGGCGAAGGCAGCCUUCUGGCAUAAUACUGACACUGAGGCUCGAAAGCGUGGGUAGCAAACAGGAUUAGAUACCCUGGUAGUCCACGCCGUAAACGAUGUCUACUAGUCGUUGGGUCCCUUGAGGACUUAGUGACGCAGCUAACGCAAUAAGUAGACCGCCUGGGGAGUACGGCCGCAAGGUUAAAACUCAAAUGAAUUGACGGGGGCCCGCACAAGCGGUGGAGCAUGUGGUUUAAUUCGAUGCAACGCGAAGAACCUUACCUGGUCUUGACAU